RNAcentral lists this ribosomal RNA (255 nucleotides) under uncultured bacterium. RNAcentral describes it as "partial 16S ribosomal RNA". It matches the Rfam family "Bacterial small subunit ribosomal RNA", at positions 524 to 776 of the family's 1533-position model. The record is from RNAcentral.
UACGUAGGGUGCAAGCGUUUGUCCGGAAUUAUUGGGCGUAAAGAGCUCGUAGGCGGUCUGUCGCGUCUGCUGUGAAAACCUAGGGCUUAACUCUGGGCGUGCAGUGGGUACGGGCAGGCUAGAGUGCGGUAGGGGGAGACUGGAAUUCCUGGUGUAGCGGUGAAAUGCGCAGAUAUCAGGAGGAACACCGGUGGCGAAGGCGGGUCUCUGGGCCGUAACUGACGCUGAGGAGCGAAAGCAUGGGGAGCGAACAGG